ACAGCUUGGACAAAAGUCUAUAGCCAGUGCAUUCCUAGCUCCCCUUACACUAAAGCAGGCUGAGGCAGAGGGGAAGACAUGUUAGUCUUGUGCUCUUCUAGUUGCUAAAGCGCAGAGCUGCCGGGCUGUGGGAGUCAUGAGGCGGCCCUGCUUCACUCAGUAUGGGCUCAGGGGGAGACCACCAUGGAUGUGUCUGCAGGUCUAGGCCCUAAGAGCAGUGCG
This is a non-coding RNA of Salmo salar (Atlantic salmon), 222 nucleotides long. The record is from Rfam. Lineage: Eukaryota; Metazoa; Chordata; Actinopteri; Salmoniformes; Salmonidae.